GGGGGUGUACCGGUUUCGACUGGUGCGGUUUGGGGCGCGGGUUGCAGGUGGAGGCGGCCGACUCCUUAAACAGACCAAAAAAUUUAAUUGCCGAUAACGACAAUUACGGCUACGCCUUAGCGGCGUAAUCGCGUGGCGCCGUCCCGCCGCCUUGAGGGACGGAUGCCGCGUCGCAAUCAGGGCUGGCUAAAUAAGGCUUCCGGGCCUUAUGCGGCGAGAUUUCCCCGGAAUACGGACGCUCCGCCCGCCGCGAAGCCAAGAGCGCCCCGACAAUCAGAUACGUGGCUAAACCUGUAGAAGCCGGCGCUUCACGUACUAGGACGCGGGUUCGACUCCCGCCAUCUCCAGUG
Molecule: transfer-messenger RNA, 350 nt
Filed under: Spirochaetaceae bacterium
Lineage: Bacteria; Pseudomonadati; Spirochaetota; Spirochaetia; Spirochaetales; Spirochaetaceae
Rfam family: transfer-messenger RNA
About the family: Bacterial tmRNA, also known as 10Sa RNA or SsrA, is named for its dual tRNA and mRNA-like properties.
Source: RNAcentral